GAACCGCCGCGAGCUGUCCCUAGCAGUGCCUUAGCCAGGGACCUGCUUGGCCAGCGACAGAUCCUUUGCUGCUCUGUCUGCCGGUUCUUGAGAUGGAGUCUCUCACUCUGUUGCCCAGGCUGGAGUGUUGUUGAUGGCAACAGUGGGCCAUCUGGACCAUCUGGAGUGGCCACUGCCAAGAUGCUGGCUGCAGCCAGGAGGCUCUGCCCAUGCUGUGAGCUUCACAGAGCCAGAGGGAGCGGGGACAAGCAGGAGCCCAGCUCCUUCCAAGUUGGCGGGUGGGAGCUCCCCAGGCAUAGCUGCAGCUGCCCAAGUCAUGGCUGCUGGCUGAGCCUCCCUGUGUUCUUGGAGACCAGGAGCAGGCAGGAGCCCUGCUCUCCUGGGUGCAACUGCAGCCACCCAAGUCCUUGCUACAGACCGUGUUCUUGGAGGCUGGGAGCAGGCAGGAGUGCCAAAGCAGGCAGGAGUGCUGGAGCAGGCAUGAGCCCUUCCUGCAUCCCCCACCUCCUUUGUGCAGCUGUAGCCACCCAGGUUGUGGCUGCGGACCAACCUGGAUAUCUCUGCACUCUAGGGGCCUGGGAAGGCACCCCCACCUCAGCAGGCUUGGAGGUAUCUGCUUCUGCUGCCUGGCCUCUCCCUGCUCCUGGUGACUGCUCUGAUCUAGGAGCAAGGUUGGGGCCGAGCCAGGGUGCUGUUGCAGCCCAGCCAGUUGUGCGCAUACUUGAGGCAGUGCUGACAGGCCAUUCCUCUGCUGCUUCAGCCCCCUCCAGACUUUGGGUGCUGACAAACAUAGAAGGGAGGCUGAGGGAAGGCUGAAGGCAGUUCAGCAUUUGCCUGCAGGUGCUUGUCCCCACGAACAGCCUGGGCACCAUAGAAAGCAGUAGGAGGCGACAUGCUCUGAGGCAGAAAGGGGCGGGUCCCCAGAAGGCCUGAAGCCUAAUGGCCAGGCCACCAGUCCCCCUGACUGGAGGGGGAACUGGUGGUGCUUUUUCUUGGACCUGCCCAUGGCCACCAAUGGACCAAUCAGCAUGCACUUCUUCCUCUCUGAGGCCCAUAAAAUUCCCUGGACUCAGCCAGACUGGGGGAGAAGACCUGCCAGCAGAGAGGAGCUACCUACUCCAGGGCCUCUUUUCUGCUGAGAGCUGCAGAGACAACAGGAGGACCAACCUGCAGAGAGGAGCUACCCACUUCAGGGCCUCCUCUUUGCUGACAGCUGCAGCGAUGAUGGGACAAGCUGCCUGCAGAGAGGAGCUACCCACUCCAGGGUCUCCUCUGAGCUAUUCUGUUGCUCAGUAAAGCUCCUCCUUCUCAGUAAAGCUCCUCUUCACUUUGCUCAGCCUCCACUUGUCUACAUACCUCAUUCUAUCUGGAUGCAGGACAAGAACUUGAGACCUGCUGAAUGGUGGGGCUGAAAGAGCUGUAACACAAACAGAGCUGAAACAUGCCCCUUGCUCACCACAUUGCAGGCAAAGAGGAGAGAAGAGCUGUGGCCCUUCAGGAAGCCCAGACCAGGAAGCUCCCUGAGCCAGGAUUGUGACUCCCGUUGGGGCCCUGCAUUUCCUGGAGUCUCCAAGCUUCUGGGCACCACUGUGGUGUACUUAGUCCAGUCACAGCCUUGCAGUGAGCCAGGGCCCGUACUGGCACCUGGAGCUGCCCACCCUGCUGCAGCAGCCAGCGUGCCUGACUGUGUGCAGUGGCCAGACCCCACACUCUUUCGCUCACACAUCCCUUGCUACUUCACGCCUGGCUCACCCUUGGCAGGGGCGAGAUACAGGCUGGUAGCAUUAGCCAAGCACAGCCUGCCAGGCUGAGUGGGCAGAACGAUCCCAGUGGGCCCAAGCAAAACUCAGGCAAAGGCACCACUGGCCACAGAGGUUUCUGACUAGAAAAGCAACACCCCAAGUAUCCUGUGACACAGUGGCAUGAUCUCAUCUCAUUGCAACCUCCACCUCCUGGGUUCAAGCUAUUCUUGUGCCUCAGCUUCUGGUGUAGCUGGGGCUACAGGUGCGUGCCACCACAUCUAUCUAAUUUUUGUAUUUUUUUUUUUUUAGUAGAGACGGGGUCUCACCAUGUUGACCAGGCUGGUCUCAAACUCCUGACUUCAGGUGAUCCGCCUGCCUCAGCCUUCCAAAGUGCUGGGAUUUCAGGUGUGGCCUACCAUGCCCAGCCUGUUAUGCCUCUUGAUUGACUCCUUUUUCAUAAUGAAAUGACCUUCUUUAUCCCUGAUAUAUCAGUCAGUGUUCAACCAGAGACACAAAACAAGUAAUUGAAUAUAUGUAUAUGUACAUAUGGAUUUGUUAAAGAGAAUUGGCUUACACAAUUAUGAGAGCUAGUUAGGCACUCUUAUAAUGCUGUUGUGUCUGAUGCUAGAAUUUGAUGUUGGCAGAGUAGUCAGAAAGGAAGAUGGAAGUAAAGUGGGAGAAGUCAAGGUCAGGCUGGAAGUCACAAGUACAAACUUGAACCUCAUGAAAAUGGACUGAAAUCCAUGUUAGUUCUUGUUGCCUUUGACCUUGGUGGUGAGGGUAUCCUUCAGAAGCUGGGGCUGUUUGUCAUAAACACACAUACAUAGGCCAGGAGUUGGAGAAGCUGAAGGAGGAUCUAGAGGAUGGUAGAGUAGUUGCAGGCCAAGCUGCUACAAAAUGAGUCAACAAAGUGAGUCACCAGUCAGCAACAACAUAUGUGAACUACAAAUGGCUACUAUUUCCUUUCCACAUUACACAUCUCCCAAAAAUUGCCUUUUUGGCCCGCCCAAACUGUAAACAUAAAAUAAAUAAUUCUAGGAAAACUGGUGCACUUUAAGCAAGAUGACACAUUAUAAAAGCAUCAUGGUCUGCCCCUUGUCAACUUAGUACCAUACAUGUUUCUUUAAGCCAUACUUUAAUUCUCCAAAUUAUGAUAACAAUGAAGUUGUGCUUUCACCUUACAUAACACUACUAUCACAUAACUAUUAACAUGCUAACCAUUUCCCAAAAGAGGAAAAUAGUCUUUUUGUUGGUCCAUGAAUGGCAUUCAUUCUGCUCCCAGAUGAUAACCCUCCUUCUUUCAUAUCCUAUAACUUAAAUACUGACAUAUAAAGUUAACUAUUAACACAUAUUGUGUUAGAUGAUAAGAUGAGAGAAGGAAGAAACAUAAAUUUUCAAGUAGUUUCCAAAAGAAGCUGGGUGUAUAUCAUUGCCCACCAGAAUGUUCUUCUUGAAUUCAACUAGACUUUUAGACCUUCAAGACUACUGCAGAUCACCCUUGGCAUCAGAUUAACUUAGAAGGAUAGGACAGAAGCCACAGCUGACCAGUAGGCAGCACCUACCCCUCUUCGGUGGUAGUGGUACUCACAGUAUUUUACACAAGCAUGCAGGGUUUUUUUUUUUUUUUGGCCUUCCCAUUCCAAGUUGACAGCUCAGAUGCAAGGAGAUGAGACUUACAUUGGGAACCUGUGGGAUGCAUCUGGAUUAGAAACUUCCACAGGAGCUAAUAUGUCUUAUAGCAACUCCAUGGACAUAGCUUCUAGAAUUUCUGUAAGAGACAUGCCAAUUACAAGAGUCACUAUACUCAGGGAGGCCCAAAGUUAUAGUAUCCAUUAGCAUAGUCAAUAUUUAUAGUUCAUUUAUAAUUCUUUUGGUAAUCAGGAAACAUUUUUACCAUAAACAAUAUUGUUGGGUAACAUAAUUGACCUAUUAAUAAGUUUUCAAUAAAACAGAAUGAGAAAAUUAACCAAAGGUUAAUUCUCAUGUACAAAGGUAAAGUGUUUUGUUAACCUUUUACCCAAAAGUGAUGAUAUGAAUGUAGAUUUUUUUGGGUGUUUGACCAAGGAAGCCAAACCAUUCUUUCAGAUUAUGUUAGAUUUGUAGCUUUGUGGAGUGUUGCCAGAGAUGUUGCUUUCUGUGUGUGAGUUUGAUGAGCUAACCUGGAGUUUGUUUGUUGGACUGGCCAAAACAAAUCUGAGCCAACUAUGGUCCAUAUCAGCUGACACUGAAGAAGUUCCUCUCAAUGAAGUAAAUGGAAUUGAAGGGUUUCCAGAGAGAUUAGCAGUGAUAAUACAGGCAUGGGAAGUGAUAUAAAAUUCUCAAGAAUGAAACUGAUAGGCCACCACCAAUAUUCUACCUGAAUUCUAUUUCUCAUUUCACUUGGGGGAAACUAGGUCAAACUAACAUGUGUACUAAUAUAUGUCUAACUUAGGCAUACGCUCUAGAGCAGUGAUUCUCAAUCUUUUUGAGAUAGUAAAUUUAUUUGAGAAAAGGAUGAAAACUGCAGACUUCUUCCUCAGAUAAAUGAACAUAAAGACCUACAUGUGGACUUUUGCUUAUCAUGUAUUGUAUUGGAAAUUAAUUUUCUUUGAUACUUAGACUGUGUAAACAAUUUUCACAAGGAAGGGAUUUCAAUUUAAAAAUCAAUUUCCAGUUCUGGGG
RNAcentral lists this long non-coding RNA (4403 nucleotides) under Homo sapiens (human). RNAcentral's name for it is "non-protein coding lnc-ZNF24-1:6". The record is from RNAcentral. Lineage: Eukaryota; Metazoa; Chordata; Mammalia; Primates; Hominidae.